AAUCUGCAUUAGGCCUUUGAGUACACAAACCAUCCACAAUCUGCCUUCUCAACCAUCAUCCUGCUGGAGGCCUUCCAUGGAGACCCCUGGUCCAGCUAGGAGUUCCGGUUCAGACAAAGGAGAGAAAACGGGAAAAGUUGGUCCUACCUGUGGUUCCAAGGCUCAAGUUUGCUCGUGGGGUACUGCCUAAGUCCUCUCCGCGGGGGCAGCAACCGGGAAGAUCUGCGCCGCUCUUUCUGGGAGCCUCCGUGCACCAGGGUUCCAGAUGACAUUUGGUGUUUUCCUCUGGCGUCUGGAUGUGCACAGAGUGCAGUCUCUUCUGGUUUCCCAGGGGCGUGAUCCUGCUAGCUGAAGAUAGUUUACGUUUGGAAUUCUGGGUAUAAAAAUGCCAGAGCCCCAGAAGCUGCAGGGGCUGCUGCUCCCUCUGCUGCCUCUGGAUCCUGUUGCUACAGUCUGUCAAGUGGUCAUGAGCAAUGGUAUGAGAAGAAAUGGGAUAUCCUAACUACGAAGAUUAGACUUGCCAGAGUAUUCAACAACUAAUCAGCAGGAAAGUGUACAGCUUUGGUGAGAUUCAUCCUCAGACAAGCUGAACUGACCUGCUUGGAUCCCUGCUUCUGGUUGCUGCCCAAAACAGCUUCAGCUUCGGGGACUGUCACAGAUUCCAGGUCAUUGUGCCUCAUUCAACCUUUCAGAUGAAUCUAGUCAGAACUUCAAUUAAGUUCUGGGCUUCCUAAGCAUACGGAAACUGGAUUACAGAUGCUAAAGCUAGCUUUCUCAAGUCUAACCAAAUUUUCUAAUUCUCCUAUCCAUCCCCACACCUUUAAAGAAUUUUUCAUUGCUCCUGUUCAGCAAGAAGUUAUGGACAGUCAUCGGCCCAAUUCCCUGGGUUUGGAGGUCUGGUAAUGGUUAUUCUAUACAUUAUAGAAGUUGCCAUUUUAAGGGACAAUUUGGGAAUGGUCAUAUUUUUGAACAGGGAGGAAAUGGGUAGAAUUGAUUGUGUAGCCAUAAUCUUAAAUGGUAGAAAUCUUUUUAAUUGAUGCAAAAUUGAAGUUAUAAUUUUUUAUAUUGGUAUGGGAUUUAUUUUGACACAGAUUUAAGGUUUUCAUUGGUAUGAAUUUCUUAUGUUGAUACAAAUAUUGAAAUUAAUAUUGUUACUCUUAGUUAGGUAUUGUGCCUAUGCAAUUCAUUCAAGAAAAAAAAGCUUAAACCCAGUCCUUCUAAUAACUGCUAUUACAGACUGUUUUUAGAUGAUUAAGUGAUAUGAGUUAAGGACCAGAUAGCAAACUCUUGGUUAUAUUAGAUUCAGAUAUAUAUAUAUAUAUAUAUAUAUAUAUAUAUAUAUAUAUAUAUGUGUGUGUGUGUGUGUGUGUGUGUGUGUGUGUGUGUGUGUUGGAGAGAGAGAGAGAGUCUUGAAAAACAUCAGAAAUCCACAGAAUGUGACAUUUAAUGUUAUUUAAUCAUUUGACAAUGAGACAUAUCUGCUCUUGGUUCAUAGAAGAAAUUGGUCAUCGUCCCCUCCGGGUGAGGUUGCCUAUCAUGGCAAGGUAGCCUGGUCAGAAAUUGCCUAUUUCAUAUGCACACAAAAUACUUUCCAGGAAAAGGACACAUUUUGCAGGACAGUUAACUGUUGGCUCUGCAAAGACAGGGUAAGGAGUCAUUAAUAAUUCUGCUUUGCAAAGGUCUAGGCCAGAAAGCUAAUACUCCAACCUUUUAAGGAAUUAGGGGGUUGUCCAAGUCGUCAUCUGUCUCUGUAGUUGUUUACAUUUGAGAAGCUAUGUGUUGUGUUUCCUCUAUACCCAUGUAAUGUUUAAGUUUUUCUCAGAUUUCAGAAGGGUUAAAGACUAGUUUUAGUCUCAUAAUCAAACAAGUUGUUUAACAUUUUUGAAAGAGGUUAUAGAGUGGAAGACAUGGUUUUCAGAUAGCAUUACAGGCUAAAUCUAAAACAUAAUCUAGGUAUAGAAUCAUAAUUCUUUAAGUUACAAAUGAUGGUAGAGUACUUUAUCUAAUUGACGAAUAUUAUGAAUGUCAUUUGUAUAUCAUACUGUGUAAUUUACAUGAUUGUUAUGCUUUUGUUCAAUUUAUGUCUGAGAGAAGAGGUUGGGAGAAGAGGUUUUAGUUUUUUUAACUGGACACAAAAGGUGAGGUUAUAGGUGGAUCUGAUGAUAAGGUCCUGUUCCCCAAUUGGUUCUUAAUCUGUCAGUAAAGAAGCCAUGGGCCAAUUGCUGGGCAGAAGGCAUAGGCGAGACUUCUGGGUCCCUGGAGGAAAACAGACAGAUACAAGGGAGGAAUGAGGAGUUCAACAGACGAGAGAGAGAAAAGGCAAGCAGCAUGUGAGGCCAGGGGAGGAGGGGUGGUCUGUGACUGCUCCUAUAGGUGGGUAGUCAGGGGUGUUUAGCAGGGACUAGAUGCAUCUUAGCAACUAAAGUUUAGGGCAGGUGGGAGGUACGGAGAUAAGAAUAUUGUUAAGGGCACACUUUUCCAAGAGAGUAGCACCCAGCAAUUCCAAAGGCAAGUUGAAAUUGAGCAACUGUGUGUCUGGGUCAUUUAUCCAUGGACUCAGGGGAAACUGGGUGGGGACUAGUAGCACAGCCUCUUCCUGGAGCAAGGCAGGAUAGCAAAAGCUAAAUGCAACAGAAGAAAGAAAGAAAAAAGGAAGGAAGGAAGGAAGGAAGGAAGAUUAAAUUGUUAAGUUAUACAUCAUGUAAAAAUCUUUUUUUUUUUCUUUUUCUUUUUUUCAGAGCUGGGGACCGAACCCAGGGCCUUACAGUUGCUAGGCAAGCGCUCUACCACUGAGCUAAAUCCCCAACCCCGUGAAAAUCUUUUGAGAUGAGCAUAACUUCAUAAUGUUUCAUCUCAGCCUCCUGAGUGGAUGGGAUUAUAGGUACAUGCCACUGAACCUAGUUGUCCUGUUAACUUUAUAUAAUACACACAUAGACACACACACACACACACAUAUACAUAUACACACACAUAUACACCUAUGAGGCAGGUCUCAAUUUUCUAGUUGAACAUGAUCUUGAUCUCUCAAUCUUCCUUUCUUCAUGUACUCGGUGCAGAGACUAUACAUAGGUCUGUGCUACCCCUGAACUACUUUACCUAAAUUAAAACAAAAACAAAAAAACAAACAAACCAAAAAACCCUCUAAACAGAAUAUAUGGUCAGUGCGUGCCUAUAACUUAGCACUUGGUAGGGUAAGGUAAGGGAAACCCAACUUUAAAAUCAGCCUGGGGUACACAGUGAGACCCUGUUCAUAGCAAAUAAAUAAAUAAAGAUUAAAAAAAACUCAGCUGGGGGGUUGGGGAUUUGGCUCAGUGGUAGAGCACUUACCUAGGAAGCGCAAGGUCCUGGGUUCGGUCCCCAGCCCCGGAAAAAAAAAGAAAAAAAAAAGAAAAAAAAGAAAAAAAAAAAGAAAAAAAAAACCUCAGCUGUCAUUUUGGUAGUAACUGACAAGUUGUUAUGAAGAUGCCAAGGUCCUUAACAGCUAAAAACGACUUUGAAAAACAAAAUACAACAAAUUGGAAGGCUAAUUCUGCCUAGUUACAACUUAGCAAAUAAGUGUGGGACUCAAGUCUCUGUGUUAUUGAUGAAUACCAAUAAACAGAGCAAUAAGAAAUUGAUUCAUGUAUCUAUGAACAACCAGCCUUUGACAAAAGUGUAGAGGUAGUCAUGGAAAAAGAACCAUCUUUCCAACAGGUAGUACUAGAAUAACUGCAUAUUCAUAUGAACAUAAUAGUGUUUAAACUUCCACCCACGUCCUAUCCUACACUGUUCUGUGGUUCAGAGAUGCUUGGUCCCAAGCAGUAUUCUGCUAUCAGCCUUCAGAUGAAGAUGUAGAACUCUUAGCUUCUCCUACACCAUGCCUGCCUGGAUUCUGCAAUGUUCCUCCUGUCUUGAUGAUAAUGGACUGAACCUCAGAACCUGUAAGCCAGCCCCAGUUAAAUGUCCUUAUUAAGAGAUAUCUUGGGGGGCUGGGGAUUUAGCUCAGUGGUAGAGCGCUUACCUAGGAAGCGCAAGGCCCUGGGUUCGGUCCCCAGCUCCGAAAAAAAGAACCAAAAAAAAAAAAAAAAAAAGAGAGAUAUCUUGGGGGGUUGGGGGAUUUAGCUCAGUGGUAGAGCGCUUGCCUAGGAAGCGCAAGGCCCUGGGUUCGGUCCCCAGCUCCGAAAAAAAAAAAAAAAAAGAAAAAAAAAAAAGAGAUAUCUUGGUCAUGGUCUCUUCACAGCAGUAAAACUUAACUAAGACAGAAGUUGGUCCCAGGAAUGGAGUAUUGCUGUGACAGGCCUGACCGUGCUUUUGUUUGGAAGAAUGUGGAUUUGGGGACUUUGGAUUUGGAAAGCAGUAGAAUGCUUUAAAUGGGGCUUAAUGGGCUAUCCUAGUAGGAAUAUGGAAGACUUUGUUACUGAGUAUGAUUUAAAUUGUGUGGAACUGGCCCAAGAGGUUUCAGUGGAGAACUUCAGUAUGUGGCCUCGAGGGUUUUUUUGUGAUAUUUUGGUGAAGAACAUGGCUUCCUUUUGCCCUUGUCUGAAGAGUCUGCCUGAGGCUAAGGUGAAGAAACUCAGAUUAAUUGCCCUGACAAAGGACGUCUCAGAAACGCCUAUCAUAGACUGUGUUCUCUGGUUGUCUCAUGAAGAGCAUUUUAAGCAAGCAUAGCAAGCUUCGAAAAGAAAAAUAUAAAAUAUAUGGUUCAAAUAUUAAAGGGACACCAGGAAGUAAAAUGGAACUGAAUCCUAUGUUUCAGGAGAUAGCAGAUUAAGGGAGUAGGACUUUUGGGCAAGAUCCUACCCAACUAAAUUUAGAUUCAGGCAUGGUGGUACACACCUUUAAUCCCAGGAGACAGUCAAGCUGAUCUCUGAGUUCAAGGUCAAUCUACAAAGCAAGAUCCAGGUCAGCCAAGUUUAGGCAGUGAGGGAGUUGGAAACAGAAAGCUGGUAAAAGACUAAGGGGAGGCCACGUUCCAGCCCCAGCAAGCAGCACAACACAGCAGUUUUGUCCAUGUGGCUCUGGCUUUAGAGUGAAAAACAGAAGGGACGACUGGGACAACUGAUGCUGGUGAGCUGGAGCUAAGAAAUUAGUGGUGAGUAAGAGACCAGAAUUACUGAGGUGAAAUCUCCUGGGGAGUGUUUUCUGAGAGCACAAAGAAGCUGUAUUCCAGAGAUAGCCAAGGGUGUACCUCGUGCUGCAGCUGUCCUCGGUAAGUGUUAAUAGUCACCAAGGUGGUACUGGCUUUGAAGGCUGGAAGGUGUCAUGAGAGCUGCUGAGGCUUGGUGUUCUAAGAGGCCAUGAAAGGCUAUUGGUGAAGGUGCAGCCUCAGCUGCAGUUGACAGCCCAGGACUGAAGGGGUCGUGCAAAGGAUUUGAGGCUUGUCACCAUAAAGAGAAUCUAUGAGAGGGUACUGGUUAAACUUAGUUGCAGAGAAAGACUCCAGUGUAUUGGAGAUGCCAGUACCAUGAUAUGAUCACCAAGAACAGCAGUGUCAGCAGAGUGGAUCAACCUGAGCUUCAAGUACUACCGAGGGCAGAGCUGGAGAAGUGAUGCCAGCCCUUUGGAGGAGCCCAGAAGUUCAUGUGUGGAUCCCAGACAUUGAAUUAAGUUGUAACACUGAAAUUGCCUCGGAGACCCCAAGAUAUUUGCGACGCUAGAGCCUUGGGCUAUCUGCUGAGGAAAGCGCUAACAGGAAGUAGAACCAGCCCAGGAGAAAGAAGUUUGUUGCAGUCAACAAAGAUGAAAAAGGAGUUGAAGAUCUGAAAACUGCUUUAACGUCAGACAUGGAGAUGCAGAGUUUGGAGUUUGCCCAGCUGGUUUCCUGUCUUGCUUUGGGGAUUACAAGUUAAGGGACUGGAUAAAUCUCAGAAGAGACUUUGAACUUUGGACUUGUUGAGACUUUGAACAUUGUGGAGACUGCCAUAGACUAUGGGGACUUUUAAUUUUAGACUAAAUGUGUUUUUAUGCUAUGUUUAGAUAUGGCCCCCAUAGACUCAUACGUUUGAACAAGCCUAUGGGAGCCAGGGAGUGAAAUGUGAUCGUUUGUAUAUGCUUGGUCCAGGGAGUGGCACUAUUAAAAGGUGUGGCCCUGUUGGAGUAGGUGUGUCACUGUGGGCGUGGGCUUUAAGACCCUUGUCCUAGGUGCCAGGAAGCCAGUAUUCUGCUUGCAGCCUUCAGAUAAAGAUGUAGAACUCUCAGCUCCUCUUGCACCAUGUCUGUCUGAAUGCCUCCAUGUUCCACACCGUGAUGAUAAUGAACCUCUGAACCUGUAAGUUAGCCCCAAAUAAAUGUUGUCCUUAUUAAAAAAAAAAAAAAAAAAAAAGAAAGAAAUGCAUGGUCCCCUUGACGAAUCAUGUUUAGACUUUAUGCUAAUGAAGAGGUCUUGGGAGGUUGGCCCUUUGUGUGGUAAUUAGGUCAUGGAGGUUGUGCCCUCAUGGCAGGAUGGCUCUUGAGGGAGCUGGUUAUCAAGCAAGGCCAGCAUUCUUGUACCCUCACACUCUUGUACCUGAAAUUCUCUUCCCUACGCUGCAGCCUGUCCUUUUUCUUUCUACCAUGAGCUGAAGCUAAAUGGGCCUCUUACCAGAAACCAAGCAAAUGUCAAGGCCACAAUCCUUCUAAAGAUGAUAGACUUAUUUAGUUCAUAGUUUUAGAUGUUCAUCUUUAGAAAUUACCCUGGUGGGAAAUUCUGUUAUAGCCAAAGAGAAAGAACUAAAACGUACAGUUUACAAAAGUUAUCUCGGAAUUGAUUACUGAAUUAUAAUGGUAAAGUUUCUCAUGGUAACAAUCUUUGAGAGCGUAGUUGGGCUUUGAGAGAAAGAGCUGUAGACUGUCUUUUGCUACUUGGUGCGUUAUUUCUUUCACCCUUCUCUACCCUAUUUCUGCCACCCUUUUAACUCCCUAACACUAGAUAAGAGAGAAAACAAGGAUAGAGAGCAAAGGAAAGAGAUCCCUGAAAAAGUCGGGUGUCAGAAAGGGGUGACACUAUCAUUAGACUGAGCUGAUUAGAGUCAUCAAGUUCCUUGAGCGAGUUUGAUCUUCACCAUCAGGGUAUCUAAUUUCUUCCUCUUGUCUCCUCUUGGUGCAUGACUACUUAACACACUGUGACCAACGGCAACCAGCAACGACCAACAACCAGCCAACAAACGACCGACCUUCUCAGGGUCCCAGCAUUUAUACAACCUCUAAUAAGUCCCCAGAAUUCCAAAUAUCGCAGAAACUACCUGCAGCUGGCAAAACUGCACCCCCACUAGAGCAUGAGGCAAAUCACAGUCAGCUGCUGUGGACAACCUGAAGCAGCCCCACAUCCCACACCAGGGAUUAAAACGAAAGCAUACUUUACAA
This is a long non-coding RNA of Rattus norvegicus (Norway rat), 7320 nucleotides long. RefSeq lists it as uncharacterized. Lineage: Eukaryota; Metazoa; Chordata; Mammalia; Rodentia; Muridae. The record is from RefSeq and is a predicted model, not a curated record.